RNAcentral lists this long non-coding RNA (963 nucleotides) under Trifolium pratense (red clover). RNAcentral's name for it is "long non-coding RNA (TPRA_LNC012006)". The record is from RNAcentral. Lineage: Eukaryota; Viridiplantae; Streptophyta; Magnoliopsida; Fabales; Fabaceae.
AAGGAAAGGCUAUCAUAAAACUAAACCCUCGUCCCUUUCUUCCAUUCAACCACUACUCCCUAUUUUUGAAGAAAUACUCAACAAUUAUCCUUUUUCUUUUCUUUCAUUCAUUUUUGUUUAUCUUUUCUGUUUCUAUUUUUCAUUCCCUAGCUUUGCAAUUUCAAAUUUGAAUCUAAAGGGAUUUAAGGUGCAAUUGUAUGCUUCAAUUGAAUCAAACGCCUCCUUUCUUAUUUUUUUUUUCAAAUCCUUAAUUUCUAUUUUUUUUUUCCUUCCAUAAGUUAGAAGGAGUCAAUGAACCACAUGUGAAACAAGGUUUCAAUGAAUAGACAUCGAACAAAAGGAUGAAAUAAAUUGAUAUAUUGCCAUGGGGUGGAGAAGUAUAGCCUAUGAAAUAAAUCAACAUAUAAGAUAACGAGCUUCAUGAAAAAAUUGACAUGUGACAUACAUAGGGGUGGAGAAGAGGUUUAAGGAACAAUUUAACAGGAACUUAGCGGAAGUUGAUGUAAUGUAACUUUUGAUAAUUUAAAUAUAAUGUGAGUUGAGUUUCACAUUGGAUAGAAAAUUGUAUUUUAAACAUUUUAUAAGUGAGAAGACUCAUAAACUCAAUGUCUUGAAAUUUUAGGUUAAGAAAUGAUGUCAAACUCACUUAUGUGAUUGUUCAAAACUCAAUGUGAUGAUCCUCAGACCCCUCGUAACCCAACAAUACCCAAUUAAUUUGAAGAAGUCAAACUUAACAACCUCGCAAGAAAGGAAACUACCUAUCGCAAGAUACCUCAAGCGGUGGAUAGGUGGUAGCUUGGCUUAUUUUUCUUCAGAUUGAAUUAAACAGCAAACAAAUUGUGUGAACCAUAUUAAUUAGUCUUAAAGAAUUAUUGUACCAUUAGUUUAAAAAAAUGUUAACAUUUAUCUUUAGAGCAUAUGUUAAGAAUUCUUGGUGUAAUCAACUUUAUUAACAUUAAAAUU